GACGAACGCUGGCGGCAUGCUUAACACAUGCAAGUCGAACGGAAAGUCCCUGCUUUUGUGGGGUGCUCGAGUGGCGAACGGGUGAGUAACACGUGAGUAACCUGCCCUUGACUUUGGGAUAACUUCAGGAAACUGGGGCUAAUACCGGAUAGGAGCUCCUGCUGCAUGGUGGGGGUGGGAAAGUUUCGGCGGUUGGGGAUGGACUCGCGGCUUAUCAGCUUGUUGGUGGGGUAGUGGCUUACCAAGGCUUUGACGGGUAGCCGGCCUGAGAGGGUGACCGGCCACAUUGGGACUGAGAUACGGCCCAGCCUCCUACGGGAGGCAUCAGUGGGGAAUAUUGCACUAUGGGAGGAAGCCUGAUGCAGCAACGCCGCGUGCGGGAUGACGGCCUUCGGGUUGUAAACCGAUUUCGCCUGUGACGAAGCGUGAGUGACGGUAAUGGGUAAAGAAGCACCGGCUAACUACGUG
This 468-nucleotide ribosomal RNA is filed under the name uncultured bacterium. RNAcentral's name for it is "partial 16S ribosomal RNA". It matches the Rfam family "Bacterial small subunit ribosomal RNA", at positions 28 to 507 of the family's 1533-position model. The record is from RNAcentral.